AACGCACAUUGCGCCCCUUGGUAUUCCAUGGGGCAUGCCUGUUCGAGCGUCAUUUGUACCUUCAAGCUUUGCUUGGUUUUGGGUGUUUGUCCUCCUUCCCCUGGGAGAGGACUCGCCUUAAAGUAAUUGGCAGCCAGUAUUUUGGUUUGAAGCGCAGCACAAGUCGCGAUUCAAGCUCAGAUAGGGGCAUCCAACAAGUCAUUUUAUCACUUUUGACCUCGGAUCAGGUAGGGAUACCCGCUGAACUUAA
Molecule: unclassified non-coding RNA, 250 nt
Filed under: uncultured Pleosporales
Lineage: Eukaryota; Fungi; Ascomycota; Dothideomycetes; Pleosporales
Description: sequence contains ITS2
Source: RNAcentral